Molecule: ribosomal RNA, 2908 nt
Filed under: human gut metagenome
Description: bacterial LSU rRNA
Rfam family: Bacterial large subunit ribosomal RNA
Source: RNAcentral
UCAAGCUACAAAGAGCAUAGGGAGGAUGCCUUGGCACCAAGCGCCGAAGAAGGACGUGGCAGGCUGCGAAAAGCUACGGUGAGCUGCGAGCAAGCGUUGACCCGUAGAUGUCCGAAUGAGGGAACUCACAUAUGGUAAUGCGUAUGUAUCAUUACAUGAAUAAAUAGUGUAAUGAGGGGAACCCGGUGAACUGAAACAUCUUAGUAACCGGAGGAAAAGAAAGUAAACACGAUUUUCAGAGUAGCGGCGAGCGAAAUGGAAGGAGCCCAAACCGCGGGUUUUCGGAUCUGCGGGGUAAAGGACAGAGGUAAAGAGAAAGCUUUAUAUAGGAACACGGUUGGAAAGCCGGGCCGGAGAGGGUAAAAGCCCCGUAGUUUAAAUGAAGCUGAUCUGAUCUGUAUCCGGAGUAGUGCGGGACACGAGGAAUCCUGCAUGAAGUCGGGGGGACCACCCUCCAAGGCUAAAUACGACUUGGUGACCGAUAGCGAACAGUACCGUGAGGGAAAGGUGAAAAGAACCCCGGGAGGGGAGUGAAAGAGUACCUGAAACCCUAUGUUUACAAGCACAGGAAGAGCGUUAAGGGCUCGACCUGGUACUUUUUGUAGAACGGACCGGCGAGUUACGUUAUGCUGCGAGGUUAAGGUGUAGAGCACCGGAGCCGGAGCGAAAGCGAGUCUGAAGAGGGCGAGAGUAACAUGACGUAGACCCGAAACCGUGUGACCUAUCCAUGGACAGGUUGAAGUGGAAGUAAAAUUUCAUGGAGGACCGAACCACACUGCCGUUGAAAAGGUAGGGGAUGAGCUGUGGAUAGCGGGGAAAUUCCAAUCGAACACGGAUAUAGCUGGUUCUCCUCGAAAUAGCUUUAGGGCUAGCCUCGGGGUAAAGAGUUGCGGAGGUAGAGCACUGAAUGGGCUAGGGGGCCACAAAGCUUACUGAACCUUAUCAAACUUCGAAUGCCGCUAACUUAUACCCGGGAGUCAGACUGUGUGAGAUAAGUCUCACGGUCAAAAGGGAAACAGCCCAGAUCAUCAGCUAAGGUCCCAAAGUGCAGGUUAAGUGGAGAAGGAUGUGUCAGUGCACAGACAACCAGGAUGUUGGCUUAGAAGCAGCCACACAUUUAAAGAGUGCGUAAUAGCUCACUGGUCGAGUGCUGAUGCGCCGAAGAUUAACGGGGCUAAAACCUGCCACCGAAGCUAUGGAUUUGCCGCAAGGCAAGUGGUAGAGGAGCAAUGUGUACAGGCAGAAGCCGUACCGUCAGGAGCGGUGGACAGUACACAAGAGAGAAUGCCGGUAUGAGUAGCGAGAGUGAGGUGAGAAUCCUCACCGUCGAAAGCCAAAGGUUUCCUGAGGAAGGUUCGUCCUCUCAGGGUAAGUCGGGGACUAAGCCGAGGGCGGUAGAGCCGUAGGCGAUGACCAGCAGGUAGAGAUUCCUGCACCACCAGUGUAUCGUUUGAGGAAGCAGUGACACAGAAGGAUAGUCAGAGCGCGUUGAUGGUAGAGCGCGUCCAAGCAGUGAGGCUGAUACGCAGUAAAGUACACGUAUCGAAAGGCUGGGCUGUGACGGGGAGUUAAGUGAUAUGAAGCUGAUGAAUUCACGCUGGCGAGAAAAGCUGCUAACGAGAUAUACGGUGCCCGUACCGCAAACCGACACAGGUAGGCGAGGAGAGAAUCCUAAGACGAGCGAGAGAACCAUUGUUAAGGAACUCGGCAAAAUUACCUCGUAACUUCGGGAGAAGGGGUGCCUAUAGAGAUAUAGGUCGCAGAGAAUAGGCCCAAGCGACUGUUUAACAAAAACACAGGUCUGUGCUAAAUCGAGAGAUGAAGUAUACGGGCUGACGCCUGCCCGGUGCUGGAAGGUUAAGGGAAUGAGUCAGGAGCAAUCCGAAGCUUUGAACUGAAGCCCCAGUAAACGGCGGCCGUAACUAUAACGGUCCUAAGGUAGCGAAAUUCCUUGUCGGGUAAGUUCCGACCUGCACGAAUGGCGUAACGAUUUGGGCGCUGUCUCAACAGUGGACUCGGCGAAAUUGUAGUAUGCGUGAAGAUGCGCAUUACCCGCGACUGGACGGAAAGACCCCGUAGAGCUUUACUGUAGCCUGAUAUUGGAUUUUGGUAAUGAAUGUACAGGAUAGGUGGGAGACUGAGAGACAAGGACGUCAGUUUUUGUGGAGUCGACGUUGGGAUACCACUCUUUCAUUACUGAAAUUCUAACCUGUAGCCGUAAACCGGUAUGGGGACAGUGUCAGGUGGGCAGUUUGACUGGGGCGGUCGCCUCCGAAAGAGUAACGGAGGCGCCCAAAGGUUCCCUCAGAAUGGUUGGGAAUCAUUCAAAGAGUGUAAAGGCAAAAGGGAGCUUGACUGCGAGACUGACAGGUCGAGCAGGUACGAAAGUAGGGCUUAGUGAUCCGGUGGUAGAGAGUGGAAUUGCCAUCGCUUAACGGAUAAAAGUUACCUCGGGGAUAACAGGCUGAUCUCCCCCAAGAGUUCACAUCGACGGGGAGGUUUGGCACCUCGAUGUCGGCUCGUCGCAUCCUGGGGCUGGAGCAGGUCCCAAGGGUUUGGCUGUCCGCCAAUUAAAGCGGCACGCGAGCUGGGUUCAGAACGUCGUGAGACAGUUCGGUCCCUAUCCAUCGUGGGCGCAGGAUAUUUGAGAGGAGCUGUUCUUAGUACGAGAGGACCGGAAUGGACGUACCUCUGGUGCAUCAGUUGUCAUGCCAAUGGCACAGCUGGGUAGCGAAGUACGGAUCGGAUAAACGCUGAAGGCAUCUAAGCGUGAAACCGACCUCAAGAAGAGAUAUCCCAUUGCGAAAGCAAGUAAGUCCCCUGGUAGACUACCAGGUAGAUAGGUCGGAGGUGUAAGUGCAGUAAUGCAUUGAGCUGACCGAUACUAAUAGGACGAGGGCUUGAUCAA